UGGGGAAUAUUGGACAAUGGGCGAAAGCCUGAUCCAGCCAUGCCGCGUGUGUGAAGAAGGUCUUCGGAUUGUAAAGCACUUUAAGUUGGGAGGAAGGGCAGUAAGCGAAUACCUUGCUGUUUUGACGUUACCGACAGAAUAAGCACCGGCUAACUCUGUGCCAGCAGCCGCGGUAAUACAGAGGGUGCAAGCGUUAAUCGGAAUUACUGGGCGUAAAGCGCGCGUAGGUGGUUCGUUAAGUUGAAUGUGAAAGCCCCGGGCUCAACCUGGGAACUGCAUCAAAAACUGGCGAGCUAGAGUAGGGCAGAGGGUGGUGGAAUUUCCUGUGUAGCGGUGAAAUGCGUAGAUAUAGGAAGGAACACCAGGGGCGAAGGCGACCACCUGGGCUCAUACUGACACUGAGGUGCGAAAGCGUGGGGAGCAAACAGG
RNAcentral lists this ribosomal RNA (429 nucleotides) under Pseudomonadota bacterium. RNAcentral describes it as "Proteobacteria bacterium partial 16S ribosomal RNA". It matches the Rfam family "Bacterial small subunit ribosomal RNA", at positions 355 to 776 of the family's 1533-position model. The record is from RNAcentral. Lineage: Bacteria; Pseudomonadati; Pseudomonadota.